RNAcentral lists this ribosomal RNA (253 nucleotides) under uncultured bacterium. RNAcentral describes it as "partial 16S ribosomal RNA". It matches the Rfam family "Bacterial small subunit ribosomal RNA", at positions 524 to 776 of the family's 1533-position model. The record is from RNAcentral.
UACGUAGGGGGCAAGCGUUGUCCGGAUUUAUUGGGCGUAAAGAGCGUGUAGGCGGCCAUACAGGUCAGCUGUGAAAACUCGAGGCUCAACCUCGAGACGUCGGUUGAAACCGUAUGGCUAGAGUCCGGAAGAGGAGAGUGGAAUUCCUGGUGUAGCGGUGGAAUGCGCAGAUAUCAGGAGGAACACCAAUAGCGAAGGCAGCUCGCUGGGACGGUACUGACGCUAAGGCGCGAAAGCGUGGGGAGCGAACAGG